CGAAGAGCAUCAGGGAGAAGAAAGGAAGAACGUCAAAAUUGUUACGUUAACUUCCGAUCCUCGUAACUUCUCCGUCCGAGCUCCAAUCGCCGCACCGUUUGCGGCCACGCGUUCACCGCGUCGAACUCUACAUUUCUACCGGAACAAUUUCAUAGGAUCCAAUUAGCUUGAGAAAAAUGUUUACUCUUGCUUAUGUGAAGCUUGGGUAAGGUAAUUUCUGACUGAAAUUGAGGGACUUGAGCAAAACUCUGAAAAAAGGCUGACAAAAGGACUGCUGAUGCUGUUGGAAUCUGACCUCCCUGCACUCGAAAUGGAUUUUCUGGAGCUACAGAACUCCAAAUGGCGCGCUCUCAACGGCGUUGGAAAGUAGACAUUCAGAGCUUUCCAGCAAUAUAUAAUAGUCCAUACUUUAUUCGGAAAUUGACGAUGUAACUUGGCGUUGAACGCCAAGUUCAUGCUGCUGUCUGGAGUUAAACGCCAGAAAAACGUCAUGAUCCGGAGUUGAACGCCCAAAACACGUCAUAACUCGGAGUUCAACUCCAAGAGAAGUCUCAGCUCGUGGAUUGAUCAAGCUCAGCCCAAGCAUACACCAAGUGGGCCCCGGAAGUGGAUUUAUGCAUCAAUUACUUACUCAUGUAAACCCUAGGAGUUAGUUUAUUACUUACUAUUGUAUUAGACAUCUUUUGACAGUUUAAUCUCUUGACUG
This is a long non-coding RNA of Arachis stenosperma, 706 nucleotides long. RefSeq lists it as uncharacterized. The transcript is spliced from 3 exons. The record is from RefSeq and is a predicted model, not a curated record. NCBI's taxonomy places the organism in Eukaryota, Viridiplantae, Streptophyta, Magnoliopsida, Fabales, Fabaceae.